RNAcentral lists this transfer RNA (66 nucleotides) under Acanthochitona mahensis. Its description in RNAcentral is "tRNA-Ala". Lineage: Eukaryota; Metazoa; Mollusca; Polyplacophora; Chitonida; Acanthochitonidae. The record is from RNAcentral.
AGAGCGGUACUUUAAGUAAAAGUUUUAAUUUGCAUUUAAAAAAUGGGGUAUUAAUAUUCCCCGCUC